This 1182-nucleotide long non-coding RNA is filed under the name Phasianus colchicus (ring-necked pheasant). Its description in RNAcentral is "lncRNA (ENSPCLG00000017120.1)". Lineage: Eukaryota; Metazoa; Chordata; Aves; Galliformes; Phasianidae. The record is from RNAcentral.
AUGUGCAGUGUCCUUGGAGGUGCAGCACAAGGAAUUUUGAAGGAUGGCAUCAGUGAGGCUCACACCUCAUUCCUCACUUUUCUUUUUGCAGUUUGUUUAUAUCUCUCCCAUUUUGCCACUUUUUCCCUUUGCACACACUUUCCAUGCUCCCCAUCCUUCCCAGACUGGCCAGAACAGCAGUGGUGCUGCAGAGCUGACCCCUGCCCAGCAUCUUCUCCCUGUCCCCCUUGCACACAACUCCAGAACAGGACAAUCUACACUGACAGCACCAUUACCAUCCUCUUCCCCAUCUCCCUCUCCACUGCCAUCUCAUCUGCUUCCCAUUCCUAUUCCUAUCCUCAUCCCCUAUCCCAUCGCUAUUCCCACCCCCUUCCCGUUCGUGAUUCCCAUCCCCAUCCUCACCCGUUUCCCCAACCCUAUGCCUAUCCCCAACCCUAUCCCCAUCCUACCCCAAUUUCUUUCCUCAUCCCCUUCCCCAUCCCAUCCCUAUGUCCAUCCCCCUCUCCUUCCCGUUCCCAUGCCCAUCCUUAUUUCCAACCCCUUCCCCUUACCCAUUUCUUUCUACAUCGCCAUCCCCACCCUAUUCCCAUCCACCGCUGUGCCCAUCCCCUUCCCUACCACUUCUUCAUCGCCGCCCCAUCCUCAUCUCCAUCCCUUUCACCAUUUCAUUCUCUCUCUGCUCCCGUCCCCGUCCCCAUCACAUCUGCACCUCCAUCCAAUUCCCAACUCCCGCCCCCGUCCGACUGCCGAGAAAUGAGAACAGGAACACUCCUCCCGCCCUGGCGCGGGGCGGCGAUUGAUGUCAUCACUGUUUCUGCCAGCUGUUUGGUUGACGGCCAGGCAGAUAUCUGCGCGCGGAGGGCGGGGGGAAUGGUGGCACUGUGCCUUUGCCUGUGCAAGCGCUGCCCCCUAUCUCGCGGCCGGGGCCGCCCUGUGCUCGCCGUCAUUCUGCACCCCUCUUCGCCACAGUGGGAAUAUCCUUUCCCGUCCAGCUACCCGUCCCUCCGUCCCUAUCCGCCCUGUUCUCGUGCCGAAGUGCGCCGACCCGUCCGCCGCUCUGGCUUCUGGUCCCUCUGGCUAAACGGUUUCGGAUUUCUCCUGGCCAGCAUCAUUUGCAGCGCAUGCCUGAUAGGGCCGUCUAUCUGGAAUACUACAGUCCUGGGGAACAUGGGGGAAAACUAG